GGAAAGGACAAAAAAGAAAGGGACCUGGCGGCCAGUAGCCUCCAAUGGCUGCUGGCCGACGCACUCACAUUCCCAGACCUGACCCUGGAGUCUGUGAGAACCAUCAUCCCUCCCGAGUUGUCCUGGCUCUGCUCCCGAACCAGUGAAGAAGAGCUGGUGAUAGAAGAUCUGGAAUAGAAAGAAUCAAAAUGCUUUCUGGACAGCGAGGGAGGGAGGGAGCACCGUUUGUUGCUUUGUGUAUGUU
Rhineura floridana is the source of this 244-nucleotide long non-coding RNA. RefSeq lists it as uncharacterized. NCBI's taxonomy places the organism in Eukaryota, Metazoa, Chordata, Lepidosauria, Squamata, Rhineuridae. The transcript has 3 exons. The record is from RefSeq and is a predicted model, not a curated record.